UUCCCAGGAGGGACAGAGAUUAAUGCCGAGGAGAGGGGAACCAGCAGCCGUUUUCUGUUUGGGUAGCGGAUGAGCUUUUUGCUCCCUGGGGCUCUGUGCUCCUGCCGGGAGCUGGCAGCACUCCAGCCGGGGACACGGCCUCAGGGCUCCAUCCCAACCCCGCUGGCAUCCAGCCCAUCCUGGGGAUAUAUCCCAGGACACCUCUGCCUUUUUUUUCCUAAAAUUUCUUAAAUUUCCUUCUUUAAUUUCACCCUUUCAAGCCAUGCAGCCUCUGUCGAGGGGCUCCCCAAGCAUCAGCAGGACCCCGCACUGAGCACGGAGCGCAGGAAGAGGAGGAACGUGAGGAAAGCUGCACAGAAGAGGGACAAGGAUUUACAAAGAGAUAUCAGAGAAGCACCUACAAUCAAGCCAAUCUUCUUUGCAGAAAAGCAGAAGACUGAACAUGGAAAAGGAGCCCGAAGCUGCGCGGACACGACUAAUUGCAGCGCUGGGAGAUGGCAACCUCAUUUGAAAGGAAGCAAGUCCCGGGAGGAUUCAGCACGGACUCUUCCAAACAACAGACGCCAUGGACUUAGAAGGCCUAAAAAUAUUUCCCCUGCAUCUGCUCGAGCCGUUUCAUUUCCUCUUCAUUUUCUCUAAUUUUCUUUGUCUUCAGCUUUAACUGGUUCGAUGCAUCCUAAUUACGAGCACAUCUGCCCGCUCCUGUGGCUUUCCGGCUGACCUGUGCUGGCAUCUGGGCUGGUGAAGAGACGGAGGAGGGAUGGACAGCAGGACUCGAUCUCUAAGGACCUGUGGACAUCCCUCUGGUCCCAGAUGCUGUCCAGACAUCCCCGAGGAGAGGUUUCUGCAUGCCAACUCUCCUGUGCUGUACUCCUGUGCUGCAUUGCCCAACUAUUUUCCCACAAGUACAGUCGGUUUCCCAGGAGCAGGUGUGGUCAGGAUUGCACUGUCCCAGCUGGUCCUUGCGUCCUGUGAAUAGGACUGGGGCUUGCAUUUUCGAGUUAGCCAUUGCUUAGGAAAAUCCUGCAUGAAUCCAGCACUCAGAAGUCGUUUAUUCUGCUGCUAAAUUAUGACAGUGUUUUUCAUCCUGAUCUUAAAGAAAAUCCAUCCUCACAUUUGAGGGCUAAAAGCAAAUCCCUGGCAAGAUUAGGUUAGCCUAGAAAAACUCAGCCCACAAGCAAUUACCCAGCACUUCCGAGGUGUUUUGUCUCCGGCAUAAGGAAAUCAAAAUCCCCAACCAACGAUUCGUGGGAAGAAGUGGCUCCGAUACGAGAACAAGAUGCGUGUUGUGUCCUUUCUUUAAUCAAGUUAAUGGUCAUCAUUUUACAUGCUAAUGUCUCCUCCGUGGUCCAUCAGUCGUGCAGCUGCAGCCGCCUGCAAUCCGCCGUGUUUUACCUAAGAGACCCAAUUACUGCUCGGCUCGGCGCGGGCUGACGCGCAGCAUUGCAGAGCAGCCCCUGCCCGCCCCGCGGCCGCACCAGAGCUUCCUCUGGCCUCGCCUGGGCCAGGAGAAACACCCCGAGGGCUUGGGUAGAAAAACAAGGAGGAGAACAGCAGAACAGCUCGUGUUCUGCUUCCCUGGGUUACCCAGGAAGGCUUGGGAACGGCAGGAGGUUGUGGGGCACUGGGGUGCCCUGACCGAGGGGCCAAGCUCACUCUCCGAGGGGUUUUCCCAAAAGCCAGAGGCCGUGCCACUGGUGGCCUGGCCUCGAGCCCCCUGGACCUCUGCCAUUCUCAUUGCCAUCUAGUGGCAUGCACUCA
This is a long non-coding RNA of Corvus hawaiiensis (hawaiian crow), 1761 nucleotides long. RefSeq lists it as uncharacterized. The record is from RefSeq and is a predicted model, not a curated record. Lineage: Eukaryota; Metazoa; Chordata; Aves; Passeriformes; Corvidae. The transcript is spliced from 3 exons.